RNAcentral lists this transfer RNA (88 nucleotides) under bacterium. Its description in RNAcentral is "tRNA-Leu". It matches the Rfam family "tRNA". Rfam says of the family: Transfer RNA (tRNA) molecules are approximately 80 nucleotides in length. The record is from RNAcentral.
GCGGACGUGGCGGAACUUGGUAUACGCGCGGGAUUGAGGUUCCCGUGGGCGCAAGCCCUUGGAGGUUCAAGUCCUCUCGUCCGCACCA